UAAUAAUUUGGUUAUGGUUAUAUAAUUAGCUACUUCAUUAAAUUACACAUGCAAAUUUCUGUGCCCCCGUUAAUCUAAACUAAAAUCUUAAUGAAAUAUAUUUCUUUUAUUAGACCACUACAAUAAAGAUUACGCCUGCAGUGAAAAAUACUGAUUUAAUUAUGAAAAUAAGAUACGGUAAAUGAAACAAGGACUGACCAAAUUCGUGCCAGCAGCCGCGGUUAAACGAUAGGUUCUAGCUAAUUUUUACGGAGACAUGAAACAAAAAAAAGAUAAUAAAAAAUAUAAAAAGGUACAAUUUUAACACCAAAUAAAUGCUACUAUCACUUAAACUAUUCAACAAAGUUAAGACCAAAACAAGGAUUAGAUACCCUUCUAUUCUUAACCUCAAUAUAAAUAUCUCCUGGCACUACGAGUACAUACUUAAAACCUAAGAACUUGGCGGUGUUUCAACAUACUAGGGGAGCCUGUUUUUUAAUCGAUAACCCACGUUUACCUCUACCUAAUCUUGCAGUCCAGCCUGUGUACUGCCGUCCAAAGUCUACAUAGUAAUAUUGUAGACUAAAAAGAUUAUCCUUAACAUGUCAGGUCAAAGUGCAGCCUAUGAUUAGGUUAAAAUGGGCUACAUUUUUUAAAUAUUCAAAUUACAUCUUAAAAACUGUAUAAAGAUGGACUUAGCAGUAAAAAUUAAAUAAAAUAUUAUAUUGAAGAAGCUAAAUGAAACAUGCACAAAUCGCCCGUCGCUCUUUCUGAAAAGGAAGAUAAGUCGUAACAUAGUUAGUGUAAUGGAAAUUGCACUUAUCAAGAU
RNAcentral lists this non-coding RNA (808 nucleotides) under Glycera tridactyla. Lineage: Eukaryota; Metazoa; Annelida; Polychaeta; Phyllodocida; Glyceridae. The record is from RNAcentral.